GUGGGGAAUCUUGCGCAAUGGGCGAAAGCCUGACGCAGCCAUGCCGCGUGAAUGAUGAAGGUCUUAGGAUUGUAAAAUUCUUUCACCGGGGACGAUAAUGACGGUACCCGGAGAAGAAGCUCCGGCUAACUUCGUGCCAGCAGCCGCGGUAAUACGAAGGGGGCUAGCGUUGCUCGGAAUUACUGGGCGUAAAGGGCGCGUAGGCGGACAGCUUAGUCAGAGGUGAAAGCCCAGAGCUCAACCUUGGAAUUGCCUUUGAUACUGGCUGUCUUGAGUUUGGGAGAGGUGAGUGGAACUCCGAGUGUAGAGAUGAAAUUCGUAGAUAUUCGGAAGAACACCAGUGGCGAAGGCGACUCACUGGCCCAAUACUGACGCUGAGGCGCGAAAGCGUGGGGAGCAAACAGGAUUAGAUACCCUUGUAGUCC
This 425-nucleotide ribosomal RNA is filed under the name uncultured bacterium. RNAcentral's name for it is "partial 16S ribosomal RNA". It matches the Rfam family "Bacterial small subunit ribosomal RNA", at positions 354 to 796 of the family's 1533-position model. The record is from RNAcentral.